This 917-nucleotide long non-coding RNA is filed under the name Gossypium raimondii (Peruvian cotton). RNAcentral describes it as "long non-coding RNA (GRAI_LNC011042)". Lineage: Eukaryota; Viridiplantae; Streptophyta; Magnoliopsida; Malvales; Malvaceae. The record is from RNAcentral.
UUGCUGUGAACUUUAGAUAACGCAAAACCUUAUUAGGUUAUAGAUCAAGUGACACUCAUGAAGUGAUUAUCAUCUUUAGCUAGUUUUAGCACUUCGUGGUGGCCUUCUUGGUGGUGGAGGUGGUGGUCUCCUAGGUGGCGGAGGUGGAGGUGGUGGUCUCCUUGGUGACGGAAGUCUCUUUGGUGACGGAGGUGGAGGUGGUGGUCUCCUUGGUGACGGAGGUGGAGGUGGUGGUCUCUUAGGUGACGGAGGUGGAGGUGGUGGUCUCCUUGGUGACGGAGGUGGAGGUGGUGGUGUCCUUGGUGACGGAGGUGGAGGUGGUGGUUCCCGUGGUGACGGAGGUGGAGGUGGUGAUCCGCUAGGUGACGGAGGUGGAGGUGGUGGUGGUACCCUAGGUGACGGAGGUGGAGGUGGUGGUGAUCCCUGUGGUGAUGGAGGUGGAGGUGGAGGUGGUGGUUCCCGUGGUGACGGAGGUGGAGGUGGUGGUGAUCCCUGUGGUGAUGGAGGUGGAGGUGGUGGUGUCCUUGGUGACGGAGGUGGAGGUGGUGGUUCCCGUGGUGACGGAGGUGGAGGUGGUGGUCCCCGUGGUGACGGAGGUGGAGGUGGUGAUCCGCUAGGUGACGGAGGUGGAGGUGGUGGUGGUCCCCUUGGUGACGGAGGUGGAGGUGGUGGUGAUCCCUGUGGUGAUGGAGGUGGAGGUGGUGGUGUCCUUGGUGACGGAGGUGGAGGUGGUGGUCCCCUUGGUGAUGGAUGUGGAGGUGGUGGAGGUCUUCUUAUCAAAGUACAUAAUUUGAUUCUAGCAUCAGGUUUAUCAACACAUUGUCCAUUUAAACAAAAGAGUUGACCCCCGCAUUCCCGUUGUGUUUGACAUGGCUUAAAGCAAUCAACGAUAGCAUUAGUAGGUAAUGAAGAAAAUA